This is a small nuclear RNA of Heterocephalus glaber (naked mole-rat), 146 nucleotides long. Its record names the gene U2. It matches the Rfam family "U2 spliceosomal RNA". Rfam says of the family: U2 is a small nuclear RNA (snRNA) component of the spliceosome (involved in pre-mRNA splicing). Complementary binding between U2 snRNA (in an area lying towards the 5' end but 3' to hairpin I) and the branchpoint sequence (BPS) of the intron results the bulging out of an unpaired adenosine, on the BPS, which initiates a nucleophilic attack at the intronic 5' splice site, thus starting the first of two transesterification reactions that mediate splicing. NCBI's taxonomy places the organism in Eukaryota, Metazoa, Chordata, Mammalia, Rodentia, Bathyergidae. The record is from Ensembl.
AUCGCUUCUCGGCCUUUUGGCUAAGAUCAAAUGUAGUAUCUAAAUGGAUAUACCUUGAGACCAUACUCUUAAAUGAAAUAAUUUGGACACACAUGUUUAAAUACUGCAUUGUUUCUCUGGUGUGAGAAACCGAAAGUGGAAAUAAA